Molecule: RNA transcript, 1752 nt
Organism: Lates calcarifer (barramundi perch)
Lineage: Eukaryota; Metazoa; Chordata; Actinopteri; Centropomidae
Gene: adhfe1
Gene name: alcohol dehydrogenase iron containing 1
Exons: 13
Source: RefSeq, a predicted model, not a curated record
GAAAAGAGGAAGCAGCAGCAGUGUUUCCGGUCCUGCUGCAGCUGACUUGGCGUCAGUGGGUCUUGGUACGGGUCUACGGCUCGGUGCGGAUCACUCAGACUCUGCAGACAUGGCGGGACGCGACCGGGUCGUUCACCUACUCCGGCAGCUCGAGCGCGCGGCGUGCAGAUGCCCUGCUCACUCCAACACCUUCCAUCAAGGAGCUGGAGCUGCCACAUGCACCGUCCGCAAAACUGACUACGCCUUCGAGAUGGCGAGUUCCAACAUCAGAUAUGGAGAAGGAGUCAGCAGAGAGAUCGGCAUGGACCUUCAGAACCUUGGAGCCCGGAACGUCUGCCUGAUGACAGACAGGAACUUGUCCCACCUCCCCCCCGUGAAGGCCGUCCUGGAGUCUCUGUCCAAGAACGGAGUCAAGUACAAAGUCUACGACAACGUGCGGGUGGAGCCCACUGACACCAGUUUUAAAGAGGCCAUUUCGUUUGCUAAAAAGGACUCGUUCGACGUGUUUGUGGCAGUGGGCGGCGGCUCUGUCAUUGACACCUGUAAGGCAGCCAACCUGUACGCCUGUCACCCCGACGCUGACUUCCUGGACUUCGUCAACGCUCCGAUCGGUAAAGGGAAGCCGGUCACUGGAGCUCUGAAGCCACUCAUCGCAGUUCCUACGACUGCAGGCACCGGCAGUGAGACCACCGGCGUCGCCAUCUUUGACUACGAACCUCUGAAGGCAAAAACAGGUAUUGCCAGCAGAGCCAUCAGACCCACACUGGGCAUCGUGGACCCAACGCACACACUGAGCAUGCCCGAACGAGUCACCGCCAACAGUGGCUUUGACGUCCUCUGUCAUGCUCUGGAGUCGUACACCGCCCUCCCCUACAACCAGAGGAGCCCCUGCCCCCCCAACCCCAUCAACCGCCCCGCCUACCAGGGCAGCAACCCCAUCAGUGACGUCUGGUCCCGCCACGCCCUCAACGUGGUUGCCAAGUACAUGAAACGAGCGGUACGGGACCCUGAGGACCUGGAGGCACGGUCCAGCAUGCACCUGGCCAGUGUUUUCGCUGGGAUUGGGUUUGGAAACGCUGGAGUUCACCUGUGCCUCAUGGUCUCUCUGUCGUCCUCACGUCUCCGGCCGUCUUCAACUUCACCGCCCCAAUGUGUCCAGAGCGUCACCUGGACGCUGCAGAGAUCCUCGGUACCUGUUCACCUGUUCACACCUUCACCUGUUCACACCUUCACCUGUUCACUCCUUCACCUGUUUACCUGUUCACACAGUGUCUUACAACAUAACAAACCAGAUCAAAGUUUAUUAACCUGCAGGUGCAGAUAUCCGGCAGGUGAAGCGGGCGGAUGCCGGUGCAGUUCUGGCCGAUACUCUGCGUCAGUUCCUGUUUGAGCUGCAGGUGGAGGACGGACUCAGAGCUGUGGGAUACAACGACGACGACAUCCCAGCUCUGGUCAAAGGAACCAUCCCCCAGGAGCGGGUGACGAAGCUCUCUCCCAGAGAACACACUGAGGAGGAUCUGACUGAACUGUUCGCUGCCUCCAUGAAACUCUACUGAAGAGUCUUUCUAUCCCUGUGAGGACUAAACUCCCUGAACACUCAGAGUCAAACUGAUUCCAGGUCUGUUCUGUGUCAAGCUGCAGUUCCUCUAACAGCCACUAGAUGCAGCUGUUUCUCUACCUGUUCAGACGUCAGCUGCUUCUGAAUGAACACCUGAAUUUUACACAUGAUUUGAAAUAAAACAGAUAAAAAUC